Molecule: ribosomal RNA, 515 nt
Filed under: uncultured bacterium
Lineage: Bacteria
Description: partial 16S ribosomal RNA
Rfam family: Bacterial small subunit ribosomal RNA
Source: RNAcentral
GAUGAACGCUGGCGGCGUGCCUAAUACAUGCAAGUCGAGCGAAUGGAUUGAGAGCUUGCUCUUAUGAAGUUAGCGGCGGACGGGUGAGUAACACGUGGGUAACCUGCCCAUAAGACUGGGAUAACUCCGGGAAACCGGGGCUAAUACCGGAUAACAUUUUGAACCGCAUGGUUCGAAAUUGAAAGGCGGCUUCGGCUGUCACUGAUGGAUGGACCCGCGUCGCAUUAGCUAGUUGGGGAGGUAACGGCUCACCAAGGCAACGAUGCGUAGCCGACCUGCGAGGGUGAUCGGCCACACUGGGACUGAGACACGGCCCAGACUCCUACGGGAGGCAGCAGUAGGGAAUCUUCUGCAAUGGACGAAAGUCUGACGGAGCAACGCCGCGUGAGUGAUGAAGGCUUUCGGGUCGUAAAACUCUGUUGUUAGGGAAGAACAAGUGCUAGUUGAAUAAGCUGGCACCUUGACGGUACCUAACCAGAAAGCCACGGCUAACUACGUGCCAGCCGCCGCCGUAA